AUGGCCUGGACUUCUGUUUGGAUCACACUUCUGGCUCACUGCACAGGGGCCAUUUCCCAGGCUGUUGUGAUUCAGGAAUCUUCACUCACCACAUCUCCUGGAGGGACAGUCACACUCACCUGUGGCUCCAGUACUGGGGCUGUUACCACCAGUAACUUUGUCAAGUGGGUCCAAGAAAAAUCUUACCGGGUACACAGUGGUCUAAUAGGUGAUACCAGCAACAGAAUCCCAGGUGUUCCUGCCCGAUUCUCAGGUUCCCUGCUUGGAGACAAGGCUGCCCUCACCAUCACAGGGGCACAGCCUGAGGAUGAGGCUGUGUAUUAUUGUGCUCUAUGGUACAGUGACCAUUAUGUUUUCGGCGGAGGAACCAAGCUCACCGUCCUAGGUCAGCCAAAGUCCACUCCCACAGUCACAGUGUUUCCACCUUCCUCUGAGGAGCUCAAGACAAACCAAGCCACAGUGGUGUGUCUGAUUAACGACUUCUACCCGGGCAGUUUAACCGUGACCUGGAAGGCAAAUGAUGUACCUAUCACCCAGGGUGUGCACACUACAAAUCCUUCCAAACACAACGACAAGUACAUGGCCAACAGCAUCCUCACUUUGACAGCAGACCAGUGGAAAUCUCACAAUCGCUUGUCCUGCCAAGUUACACAUGAAGGGAACGUUGUAGAAAAGAGUGUGUCCCCUGCAGACUGUUUCUAGGAGCCCAGCCUUUCCUUAGCCUAGGGGACCCAGAAUGGGGUCUCUUCUCUAUGCUAGCAAUCUCAUCCUUUCUCUUUUACCCACUGAAUAUUCAAUAAAAUAUCAUUGAUCAGAA
Peromyscus eremicus (cactus mouse) is the source of this 817-nucleotide non-coding RNA. Lineage: Eukaryota; Metazoa; Chordata; Mammalia; Rodentia; Cricetidae. The record is from the annotation of a RefSeq genome assembly.